GAUGAACGCUGGCGGCGUGCCUAAUACAUGCAAGUCGAGCGAACGGACGAGAAGCUUGCUUCUCUGAUGUUAGCGGCGGACGGGUGAGUAACACGUGGAUAACCUACCUAUAAGACUGGGAUAACUUCGGGAAACCGGAGCUAAUACCGGAUAAUAUUUUGAACCGCAUGGUUCAAAAGUGAAAGACGGUCUUGCUGUCACUUAUAGAUGGAUCCGCGCUGCAUUAGCUAGUUGGUAAGGUAACGGCUUACCAAGGCAACGAUGCAUAGCCGACCUGAGAGGGUGAUCGGCCACACUGGAACUGAGACACGGUCCAGACUCCUACGGGAGGCAGCAGUAGGGAAUCUUCCGCAAUGGGCGAAAGCCUGACGGAGCAACGCCGCGUGAGUGAUGAAGGUCUUCGGAUCGUAAAACUCUGUUAUUAGGGAAGAACAUAUGUGUAAGUAACUGUGCACAUCUUGACGGUACCUGACCAGAAAGCCACGGCUAACUACGUG
This 497-nucleotide ribosomal RNA is filed under the name uncultured bacterium. RNAcentral's name for it is "partial 16S ribosomal RNA". It matches the Rfam family "Bacterial small subunit ribosomal RNA", at positions 28 to 507 of the family's 1533-position model. The record is from RNAcentral.